Molecule: long non-coding RNA, 732 nt
Organism: Cyprinus carpio carpio
Lineage: Eukaryota; Metazoa; Chordata; Actinopteri; Cypriniformes; Cyprinidae
Source: Ensembl
AUGGAUAAAGGCCGAAGAAAACGCUCAAAAAACUUAAGUGAAUUUGAGAAGAUCCUUUUUAAACAAAUUGUAUCAAACUAUCAUGUAAUUGAAAACAAACAGCAUGAUUCAGGUACAGAAAACAAGAAGAAGGCUUGGAUUUCCAUAUUGAAUGAAUUCAACUCAAAUGAAAAAGUAACCAAACGGACACUCCAACAAGUUCAGGUCCUGUGGAAAAACAUAAAAAUAAACCUGAAAAAAAAAACAACUGCUGCUACGCGUCAAGAGAAUUUCAAGACAGGUGGGGGACUUCCAGUUCCACCAGACACAGAGGAGUUGGGGGACUUGUUAGCUGGGAUUAUUGAAAGUCAGCAACCCCUGGAAGGUAUUCCAGAUGAUGACCACUUGGACAGUUCAGAUGACCUGAUCUUCACACAGGACUUGGGGGGCGCAGGGAACAGUCAAGCUGCUCAAAUGAAUCCAGCAGCAGCCAGCACCAACAUGCAGCAGCAUCCAGUCUCCUGCAGUAGCAUUAGUCAGCAUCCAGCAGUCUCUAAUCCAGGCAGCAGGUCAAGAGGGAAAAGGAUGACCAUUCAUGAGAAACUUGCCAUAGAGUUCCAUGAACGUAAAUUACAAUAUUUAAAAGAAGAACAUGAAGUCAAAAUGAAAAUUCUUCAUCUUGAGUUGUCUAUGAAAGAGAGAGACAUGAAGCAGCAGCAGUGUCAAUUGUCUUUGGAACAAAAUCUCAGUUAA